AUUGAACGCUGGCGGCAGGCCUUACACAUGCAAGUCGAACGGCAGCACGGGUGCUUGCACCUGGUGGCGAGUGGCGAACGGGUGAGUAAUACAUCGGAACGUACCUUAUCGUGGGGGAUAACGCAGCGAAAGUUGCGCUAAUACCGCAUACGCCCUGAGGGGGAAAGCGGGGGACCGUAAGGCCUCGCGCGAUUAGAGCGGCCGAUGUCUGAUUAGCUUGUUGGUGAGGUAAAAGCUCACCAAGGCGAUGAUCAGUAGCUGGUCUGAGAGGACGAUCAGCCACACUGGGACUGAGACACGGCCCAGACUCCUACGGGAGGCGGCAGUGGGGAAUUUUGGGCAAUGGGGGCAACCCUGAUCCAGCAAUGCCGCGUGAGUGAAGAAGGCCUUCGGGUUGUAAAGCUCUUUUGUCAGGGAAGAAACAGCAGCUCUAACACAGUCUGCGAAUGACGGUACCUGAAGAAUAAGCACCGGCUAACUACGUGCCAGCCGCCGCCGUAA
RNAcentral lists this ribosomal RNA (501 nucleotides) under uncultured bacterium. RNAcentral describes it as "partial 16S ribosomal RNA". It matches the Rfam family "Bacterial small subunit ribosomal RNA", at positions 30 to 523 of the family's 1533-position model. The record is from RNAcentral.